AUCUACUUUAUGGGAGGCGUAUUAUCGGCGAGCUGGACGCUAUGUUAAAUGAGCACAAUGACUUAUUGAAAUUAUUCAAAUCACACAUGCACAAGCUAAAAAGUGUCAAUCACGCUAUUGUCAUCAAUCCUGAUAGAACACCAGCUGGAGAGAAUAUACGCACCUGUUUUUAACGACGUUGCUGGAAUCAUGGUUGGUGACCGUACAGCUAUGCGACAAAUGUUAAUUCGAAGAAGAAAUAAUGAUUUUCAGUUCAUCAGUGUCACUCACCGUUCAUAUGACGCCCUCCAAUAUCCAUUAAUUUUUUGGAAGGGACAAGACGGAUAUUGCGUUAAUAUUAAACGAGAUCUCGUAACAGGAGGCGAAACAAAUAAGAACGUAAAGUAUUUGGCGGCUCUCUGUUACUCCUUUCAGGUGAUUUCAGACAAACUCUUCAAAUUAUUCCACGUUCAACGUACGCUGAUGAAAUCAAUGCUUGCUUAAAAUCGUCGCGACUGUGGCGUAAUGUUGAAAAAGUACAACUGACGAAGAACAUGCGCGUUCAAAUGCUUCGGGAUCCACCCGCCGAAACUUUCUCUAAACAACUGUUAUAUAUUGGCGAGGGAAAAUUGCUGUACAUGAAAAUACUGGAUGUAUAAAAUUAUAAACGGACUUCUGCACAAUCGUCGACUCGCAAAAUACUCUCAUUGAUCGAAUAUUGCCUAAUGUACACACAUAAUAUGAAAAUCAUAAGUUGUUGGCAGAAA
RNAcentral lists this small RNA (746 nucleotides) under Drosophila ananassae. RNAcentral describes it as "GF27497". Lineage: Eukaryota; Metazoa; Arthropoda; Insecta; Diptera; Drosophilidae. The record is from RNAcentral.